AUACUAAGAGCAUACGGUGGAUGCCUUGGCGAUAUCUGCCGACGAAGGACGUGACAAGCUGCGAAAAGCUGCGGAGAGAUGCAAAUAAUCGGCGACCCGCAGACAUCCGAAUGGAGAAAUCCGGCUGUGAUGAUGCACAGCCAUCCAUGCCCAAGAGCAUGAGAAGGGAACCGGGCGAACUGAAACAUCUAAGUAACCCGAGGAAAAGAAAUCAAACGAGAUACCCCAAGUAGCGGCGAGCGAACAGGGAAGAAGCCCAAACCGGUGAAGGAAACUUUACCGGGGUUGAGGACCAUCAGACCCGCGAAGAACCUUAGCCGAAACUGUUGGGAAACAGUGCCAAAGACAGUGAAAGCCUGGUAGGCGAAAAAGAGAAACGCGGAGAUGGCACCAGAGUACCGCGGGACACGAGAAAUCCCGUGGGAAGCAGGGGGGACCACCCUCCAAGGCAAAACACAGAUAUCGACCGAUAGCGCAUAGUACCAUGAGGGAAAGGUGAAAAGCACCCCGGGAGGGGAAUGAAAGAGAACCUGAAACCGUAUGUUUACAAGCAGUCGGAGACCGCUUAAUAAUAAGGUCGACGGCGUGCCUAUUGAAGAAUGAACCGGCGAGUUACGAAGCCUGGCAAGGUUAAGCAGGAAAUGCGGAGCCGAAGCGAAAGCGAGUCUUAAGAGGGCGCAAGUCAGGAAGCGUAGACCCGAAACCACAGUGAUCUACCCAUGUCCAGGUUGAAACACAGGUAAAAAUGUGUGGAGGACCGAACCUAUAUCCGUUGAAAAGGGUUAGGAUGAGGUGUGGGUAGGGGUGAAAUUCCAAUCGAACGUGGAGAUAGCUGGUUCUCCCCGAAAUAGCUUUAGGGCUAGCCUCAGGGAAAAGAUUGCAGGCGGUAGAGCACUGAUCAGGAGAGGGACCUACCCGGUUACCAAACCCAGUCAAACUCCGAAUGGCUGCAAUCAUACCUGGGAGUCAGACUGCGACUAAUAAGGGCCGCAGUCAAAAGGGAAACAGCCCAGACCAUCAGCUAAGGUCCCCAAUGCCGUGCUAAGUGGCGAAGGAUGUGGCAUUUCAUAAACAACCAGGAUGUUGGCUCAGAAGCAGCCACCAUUUAAAGAGUGCGUAAUAGCUCACUGGUCGAGAGACGCUGCGCCGAAAAUGUCCGGGGCUCAAGCACGGAACCGAAGCUAUGGCAUGAUAGCAAUAUCAUGGGUAGGGGAGCGUUCUUAUAAGGAAGAAGCAUGACCGGAAGGACAUGUGGACGAAUAAGAAGUGAGAAUGCCGGUAUGAGUAUCGAAAAGAAAGGUGAGAAUCCUUUCCACCGAAAGCCCGAGGGUUCCUGAGCAACGAUCGUCGACUCAGGGUAAGUCGGGACCUAAGCCGAGGCGAGAAGCGUAGGCGAUGGACAACAGGUUGAAAUUCCUGUACCGGAUCAAGUCGAUCGAGCGAAGGAGCGACGCAGGAGGGCACAUGAUCGCGCGGCUGGAAGAGCGCGUCCAAGUGCGUAUGUUGCUGCAGAGGAAAACCCCUGUAGCUGAAAGCAGAGACAUGAAGGGGAGUUAAAGGAAACUUUGACGAACUCAUGAAUCCCACACUGCCAAGAAAAACUUCUAGCGAGACAAGAUCCGCCCGUACCGUAAACCGACACAGGUAGGCGGGGAGAGAAUCCUAAGGUGCGCGGGAAAACCCUCGUUAAGGAACUCGGCAAAUUGCAUCCGUAACCUAGGGAGAAGGAUGGCCCCCGGUCAGUGAAGAGCAGAAACGCUCAGAGCUAAAAGGGGCGGCAGAAAAGAGGCCCAAGCAACUGUUUACCAAAAACACAGGUGCCUGCGAAAGCGAAAGCUGAAGUAUAGGUGCUGACGCCUGCCCGGUGCCGGAAGGUUAAGGAGAGAAGUUAGCGAAAGCGAAGCAUCGAACUGAAGCCCCGGUGAACGGCGGCCGUAACUAUAACGGUCCUAAGGUAGCGAAAUUCCUUGUCGGGUAAGUUCCGACCCGCAUGAAAGGCGUAAUGAUUUGGGCACUGUCUCAACGAGGGGCCCGGUGAAAUUGAAAUACCUGUGAAGAUGCAGGUUACCCGCGACUGGACAGAAAGACCCCAUGGAGCUUCACUGCAGCUUGAGAUUGAAUCCCGGUGACAGAUGCACAGGAUAGGUGGGAGGCGCCGAAGCAUUGCCCUAGGGCGGUGCGGAGCCGAUGUUGGGAUACCACCCUUCUGUUGCUGAGAUUCUAACGCGAGGAGUAACGACCCUGCGGACCCUCUCAGGCAGGCGGUUUGACUGGGGCGGUCGCCUCCGAAAGAG
Molecule: ribosomal RNA, 2294 nt
Filed under: human gut metagenome
Description: bacterial LSU rRNA
Rfam family: Bacterial large subunit ribosomal RNA
Source: RNAcentral